RNAcentral lists this ribosomal RNA (449 nucleotides) under uncultured bacterium. RNAcentral's name for it is "bacterial SSU rRNA". It matches the Rfam family "Bacterial small subunit ribosomal RNA", at positions 28 to 470 of the family's 1533-position model. The record is from RNAcentral.
GAUGAACGCUAGCGGCAGGCCUAAUACAUGCAAGACGAACGGUAAGUUGAGUAGCAAUACUUAGCCAAGAGUGUCGUACGGGUGCGUAACACGUAUGCAACCUACCCUAUACAGGAGGAUAGCCUAGGGAAACCUGGAUUAACCCUUCAUAGUAUUAUUGGAUGGCAUCAUUUGAUAAUUAAAACUGAGGUGGUAUAGGAUGGGCAUGCGUCUGAUUAGUUAGUUGGCGGGGUAAUGGCCCACCAAGACGAUGAUCAGUAGGGGGUUCUGAGAGGAAGAUCCCCCACACUGGCACUGAGAUACGGGCCAGACUCCUACGGGAGCAGCAGUAGGGAAUAUUGGUCAAUGGAUGCAAGUCUGAACCAGCCAUGCCGCGUGCAGGAAGAAGGGCCUUCUAGGGGUUGUAAACUGCUUUUGCCAGGGGGAUAAAAUUUCCAUGCGUGGAAAAC